GACGGAGGGUGCUAGCGUUGUUCGGAUUUACUGGGCGUAAAGGGCGCGUAGGCGGCCCUGUCAGUCGGGUGUGAAAGCCCGGGGCUCAACCCCGGAACGGCACCCGAGACGGCAGGGCUGGAGACCGGGAGAGGAGGGUGGAAUAGCCAGUGUAGAGGUGAAAUUCGUAGAUAUUAGCAGGAACACCGGUGGCGAAGGCGGCUAUCUGGACGACAACUGACGCUGAGGCGCGAAAGUGUGGGGAUCAAACAGG
RNAcentral lists this ribosomal RNA (253 nucleotides) under uncultured bacterium. Its description in RNAcentral is "partial 16S ribosomal RNA". It matches the Rfam family "Bacterial small subunit ribosomal RNA", at positions 524 to 776 of the family's 1533-position model. The record is from RNAcentral.